UAAAAUGGGAGGUAAAUUUCUCCUAAGGCUAAAUAUUGGCGAGAGACCGAUAGCGAACAAGUACCUUGAGGGAAAGAUGAAAAGAACUUUGAAAAGAGAGUUAAACAGUACGUGAAAUUGUUGAAAGGGAAACGAUUAAAGUCAGUCGUACCUACGAGUAAUCAACCUACACGAGCGCGAUUUUGUGGGUAUGAAGAGGUAAAACCUUCAUGCUUUCAAAUUGGUGUUCUUUGGGCGUACUUUCUCCUAUGGUAGGUUAACAUCAAUUUCGAUCGUUAUAAAAUGACGGGAGGAAUGUAGCUUCGACUUCGGUUGAAGUGUUAUAGCCUCUGGUAGAUGUAAUGAUUGGGAUUGAGGAUUGCAACGGAUACCCUCUGGGCUAUUCGUCUGAUCUCUGGAAGUUACCUUGGUGUCGAAAGCGUGCUUAUGACAUUAAGAAUGACGGCCAAAAGGUUAGAACGGAAUUAAA
RNAcentral lists this ribosomal RNA (469 nucleotides) under uncultured Rhizophagus. RNAcentral describes it as "eukaryotic LSU rRNA". It matches the Rfam family "Eukaryotic large subunit ribosomal RNA", at positions 288 to 634 of the family's 3401-position model. Lineage: Eukaryota; Fungi; Glomeromycota; Glomeromycetes; Glomerales; Glomeraceae. The record is from RNAcentral.